GAUGAAGAACGUAGCGAAAUGCGAUACGUAAUGUGAAUUGCAGAAUUCAGUGCAUCAUCGAAUCUUUGAACGCACAUUGCGCCUGCCAGCACUCUGGCAGGCAUGCCUGUUCGAGCGUCAUUUCAACCAUCAAGCCCUAGGCUUGCGUUGGAGCCCUGCGGCUGCCGCAGGCCCCUAAAAGCAGUGGCGGGCUCGCUAUCACACCGAGUGCAGUAGAUUACUCUUCGCUCAGGGCGUGUGGCGGGUUCCAGCCGUGAAACCCCCUACUUCUCAAGGUUGACCUCGGAUCAGGUAGGAAUACCCGCUGAACUUAAGCAUAUCAAUAAGCGGAGGA
Molecule: unclassified non-coding RNA, 334 nt
Filed under: soil metagenome
Description: partial contains 5.8S ribosomal RNA, internal transcribed spacer 2, and large subunit ribosomal RNA
Rfam family: 5.8S ribosomal RNA (bases 1-120)
Source: RNAcentral